GUGAGGAAUGACCCAUGGAUGUUAGCCCAUGCACUUGCCCACUUGGGUGGGCUUUUUAUAAGAGUUGAUAGAGGAAAGAGCUUUCUGACCUGUAUCUUCCCAUCUAAAAGGAGGAGGAUUGGGAGAGAGAAACUAGGACAGCAGCUGUUGGCUUUUGGGGGAAGCAGGAGUUGGUAGGGGGGGAGACCUGAAAAAGAAAUGUUUAUAAGGAUCUCCAUCCUUCAUUUAAAUGGAGGGCCCGAGUUUGCCGUAGAUAUUCAGGUAAGAAAUGGGUCCCUGGAGACCAGGUCUCCUCCCUCACCACACCAUCCAAGUGUGUCACAAAAGCUCUACCUUCUCAUCCACCCUGGCACCGCACUGCACCCCAGUUCUUUGGCUGAGGGCUCAUGCCACGCCAUGUCUUACGUAACUGUUAAAUGCCUCUUCUCAUCCUCUGGCAUACCCCCUCGGGGUCCAGAAAGCACAGAAGAAGGGUCCUGGCCGAGGGAGAGACUACCAAACUGUGUUGCUGACCAGCCCCCGAGUGGUUGCGCAGUUAGCAACCACCCGACGGACGUGAGGGCAGACUCUGUCUUCCAUCUUCGUCACCAGUGGUUUCUUGGGAACAUCUGCCCUGGAGAUAGAACAGUGCCUCUCAGCUUCCUUCUGUCACUCAGCUCGCUUGGGGAGAUCUUUCCAAAGGAAAAGGGAUGCAGGAUUCAUUCAUCUCAGAAGAUCCAGAACCUCCCCACCUCCAUGAUGGAUACCAGUCCGCACAAGCAUUGCUGGAGAAGCUUGCUGGUGAGGUGAAGCCGUCAUGGCCCAGGAGGGACUGGGUUGGUCUCUUUUGGCUUUAACAGCAACACCAACAAUUAUAACUAGCAUUUGUGUAGUGCUUUAAUGUUUACGAUGCAUUUUACACACGUUAUCUCGUUUGAUUUCAUUAGAGGAGAUAUCCUGCAGGCCUUCUGUGGUUUUGACUUGUCUGCGGUCCGUGUGUUUGCCAGAUUCUUUUAGGCCUUCAGAAAUACACCUUCAUCACUCUUUCAUCCUUUCCUGCCUGUGUGUGGGCUAGAUUUGCUAUCGUGCUGUCGUAGGUUUAAAUACAUGGAAGAAGGCUUGACCUUUGAUCC
RNAcentral lists this long non-coding RNA (1112 nucleotides) under Vombatus ursinus (common wombat). Its description in RNAcentral is "lncRNA (ENSVURG00010012025.1)". The record is from RNAcentral. Lineage: Eukaryota; Metazoa; Chordata; Mammalia; Diprotodontia; Vombatidae.